RNAcentral lists this ribosomal RNA (777 nucleotides) under uncultured Neocallimastigales. RNAcentral's name for it is "partial large subunit ribosomal RNA". It matches the Rfam family "Eukaryotic large subunit ribosomal RNA", at positions 23 to 645 of the family's 3401-position model. The record is from RNAcentral. Lineage: Eukaryota; Fungi; Neocallimastigomycota; Neocallimastigomycetes; Neocallimastigales.
UAGAGAGAGACAUGCGCGCAUAUCAAUAAGCGGAGGAAAAGAAACUAACAAGGAUUCCCUUAGUAACGGCGAGUGAAGCGGGAAGAGCUCAAAUUUGAAAUCUUCAAGGUUUUACCUUGACGAAUUGUAGUUUAAAGAAGUGUUUUCUGCUGAAGUUUUGGUAAAAGUUCUUUGGAAUAGGACAUCAUAGAGGGUGAGAAUCCCGUAUUUGACCAUUAUUUUCAGCUUUGUGAUACACUUUCAAAGAGUCGGAUUGUUUGGGAAUGCAGUCCAAAAUGGGUGGUAAAUUUCAUCUAAAGCUAAAUAUUGGCGAGAGGACCGAUAGCGAACAAGUACCGUGAGGGAAAGAUGAAAAGAACUUUGAAAAGAGAGUUAAACAGUACGUGAAAUUGUCAAAAGGGAAGCGUUUGACACCAGUGUUGUUUUCUCGAAAAUCAAUUAAAAAUGGCUCGAUUUUGUAUUGCUUGAGACCUUAAAAGCUCACUGUACAUUUUUCGUGUCUUUUUUAAUGCACUUUUCGUUUAACAAGUCAACAUCAGUUUCUUUUGUUGUAAAAGGGUCAUUGGAAGGUGGCUUUCUUUUCGGAGAAAGUGUUUAUAGCCUUUGGCCUCUGCAAUCGAAGAGACUGAGGUCUGCAGCGUAGACUCUUCGGGGUUAGAUACAUUUGUGCUAAGUUAUAGCUUUUUAUAGACAACUUGUUGACUAUAAUUAGUCUUGUAGCUUACUCGCUUAUGCUAUUUUACCUACGCUUAGGAUGUUGAAGUCAUCGUAUCGCGC